CCAAUAGCGUAUAUUAAAGUUGUUGCAGUUAAAAAGCUCGUAGUUGAAUUUCGAGACCGGCUUACUGGUCGUGCUAUUGUGCGUACUGGUAUAAUCGGUUUCUCCUUUCUGACGAACUAUAAUGCCAUUAAUUUGGUGUUAUAGGGAAUCAGGACUGUUACUUUGAAAAAAUUAGAGUGUUUAAAGCAGGCUCACGCUUGAAUACAUUAGCAUGGAAUAA
Molecule: ribosomal RNA, 220 nt
Filed under: uncultured Glomus
Lineage: Eukaryota; Fungi; Glomeromycota; Glomeromycetes; Glomerales; Glomeraceae
Description: partial small subunit ribosomal RNA
Rfam family: Eukaryotic small subunit ribosomal RNA
Source: RNAcentral